AAUCCGUAACUUCGGAAUAAGGAUUGGUUCUGAGGAGCGGGGCGUGUCGGGCUUGGUCGGAAAGCGAGUCUGGCUGACGUGCCGGACCUGGGCGAGGUGAACGUUCCGGUGUUCUCGUGCCGGUUCCGGGAUCCGAGUUCGGUCCGUACCUUGGCCUCCCACGGAUCUUCCUUGCUGAGAGGCUUCCGUGGCGGCGCGAGCCGUCGUGGUCGUCCUCUUCGGCCGCUAUUCAACGCUCAGCUCAGAAUUGGCACGGACAAGGGGAAUCUGACUGUCUAAUUAAAACAAAGCAUUGCCCUCAAGGGUGUUGACGCAAUGAUGAUUUCUGCCCAGUGCUCUGAAUGUCAACGUGAAGAAAUUCAAGUAAGCGCGGGUAAAUGGCUAAAGUAACUAUGACUCUCUUAAGGGAACACGCCGCCGCUAUUUCCAAAAAUAAUAUGCUGCGGAAAGCAACGACGCCC
RNAcentral lists this non-coding RNA (461 nucleotides) under Acromyrmex echinatior (Panamanian leafcutter ant). RNAcentral describes it as "Eukaryotic large subunit ribosomal RNA". It matches the Rfam family "Eukaryotic large subunit ribosomal RNA", at positions 1925 to 2314 of the family's 3401-position model. Lineage: Eukaryota; Metazoa; Arthropoda; Insecta; Hymenoptera; Formicidae. The record is from Rfam by way of RNAcentral.